AUCUAGCUGAAAAAGUCCCAGAUAGGAGUAAACGCGCGUCCUGGAU
Molecule: non-coding RNA, 46 nt
Filed under: Schistosoma mansoni
Lineage: Eukaryota; Metazoa; Platyhelminthes; Trematoda; Strigeidida; Schistosomatidae
Source: RNAcentral